CCCUACUACUGUUGCAACAACAACAGCAGCACCUACAACUACUGCUGCUCCUACGACAGCAGCACCUACUACUGUUGCGACAACAACAGCAGCACCUACAACUGCUGCACCUACGUCUGUUGCCCUGACAACUGCAGCACCUACAACGGCUCGAUCUGCAACUACAGCACCUACUACUAUAGCCCUUAGAAGGGUGACUUUCCGUUCUGUCCUAGACACAUUUACUAUUGAAUUGCAGGAUCCAUCUUCUGAUGAUUUUAAAGGUCGGGCUACAUUGGUGAAGGAACAGCUUACACCUGUUUACCAAAACGCAUUCCCUUCGUCCUUCAAAUCACUAGAUGUUGUUUCAUUCAGUAACGGAUCAAUCAUCAGCGUCAUUGACGUUUCAUUUGUAAGCACAUCCGCUCCUAAUAACAAUGAGAUUGCGAGCACUUUGAUCAAUGCAACAGUCGUUGGAUUCGACAUUGAAAGCAGCUCCAUUAGCGUAAAUGGCAUAUGUAAGUAAAUACUGAGUGCUACUUAAUAAAAAUAAAAAUAAAUUAUACUUUUUUUAAAUUAAUGUUUGUUU
Molecule: long non-coding RNA, 568 nt
Organism: Trematomus bernacchii (emerald rockcod)
Lineage: Eukaryota; Metazoa; Chordata; Actinopteri; Perciformes; Nototheniidae
Exons: 3
Source: RefSeq, a predicted model, not a curated record